RNAcentral lists this non-coding RNA (29 nucleotides) under Homo sapiens (human). The record is from RNAcentral. Lineage: Eukaryota; Metazoa; Chordata; Mammalia; Primates; Hominidae.
UGGACAUAGUUUGCCCCUGUGGCUGCCUU